Molecule: ribosomal RNA, 497 nt
Filed under: uncultured bacterium
Lineage: Bacteria
Description: partial 16S ribosomal RNA
Rfam family: Bacterial small subunit ribosomal RNA
Source: RNAcentral
GAUGAACGCUGGCGGCGUGCCUAAUACAUGCAAGUCGAGCGAACAGACGAGGAGCUUGCUCCUCUGACGUUAGCGGCGGACGGGUGAGUAACACGUGGAUAACCUACCUAUAAGACUGGGAUAACUUCGGGAAACCGGAGCUAAUACCGGAUAAUAUAUUGAACCGCAUGGUUCAAUAGUGAAAGACGGUUUUGCUGUCACUUAUAGAUGGAUCCGCGCCGCAUUAGCUAGUUGGUAAGGUAACGGCUUACCAAGGCAACGAUGCGUAGCCGACCUGAGAGGGUGAUCGGCCACACUGGAACUGAGACACGGUCCAGACUCCUACGGGAGGCAGCAGUAGGGAAUCUUCCGCAAUGGGCGAAAGCUUGACGGAGCAACGCCGCGUGAGUGAUGAAGGUCUUCGGAUCGUAAAGCUCUGUUAUUAGGGAAGAACAAAUGUGUAAGUAACUAUGCACGUCUUGACGGUACCUAAUCAGAAAGCAACGGCUAACUACGUG